RNAcentral lists this long non-coding RNA (634 nucleotides) under Homo sapiens (human). Its description in RNAcentral is "HSALNT0342287". The record is from RNAcentral. Lineage: Eukaryota; Metazoa; Chordata; Mammalia; Primates; Hominidae.
GUGCCGCGGCUGAGGGCUGUCGGGCCGCGGGCUCAGGCUCAAGUCCAGGCCGGGCUCGGGCACUGGGGCUCGGAGUUGCGGGACUUGGGGCUCCGGGGGUGGCCCCGGGACCGCCGCGGCUUCUUCCCCGUCCGCCGACUUCAGCUCUGACUCCCCACAACCCAUCAUCAUCUUUGGAGGAAGUGCUGUGGAACAUCAGAUAGAAUGGAUAGCACAGCCCAAAUUUUACAAAAAGGAUUUUAAAGGAAGAUCUCAAUGGUGGAACACUAGAGGCUUUCCUGCUAAAGUUAAGAACAAGCAAAGGCUGACGCAGUUUUGGCAUGCAGGAAGUGUUGGAGCUGAGACUCGAAACUGUCCCCCAGGCCUUGGCCAUGCUGAUAAAUAUCUAGGCCCUACAGGAGUUCGUGUCCAUGAACCCAGUAAACGCAAUUCCUCAGCCUUAAAAUCUAGUCACUGACUCAUUUCAGGCCCCAGCACAGACGAAAACAAGCCAUUCUGUUUGCCCAGUUUACAUUGCGGGUCUCCAAGAAGUGGAAUGUUCACCAAUGAUUUUAAGAAAACAGGGCCUGGCGCGGUGGCUCACGCCUGUAAUCCCAGCACUUUGGGAGGCCGAGGCAGGCAGAUCACCUGAGGU